Molecule: ribosomal RNA, 253 nt
Filed under: uncultured bacterium
Lineage: Bacteria
Description: partial 16S ribosomal RNA
Rfam family: Bacterial small subunit ribosomal RNA
Source: RNAcentral
UACGGAGGGUGCGAGCGUUGUCCGGAAUCACUGGGCGUAAAGGGCGCGUAGGCGGCCUGAUAAGUAGGGGGUGAAAUCCUGCGGCUUAACCGCAGGGCUGCCUUCUAAACUGUCAGGCUUGAGCACAGUAGAGGCAGGUGGAAUUCCCGGUGUAGCGGUGGAAUGCGUAGAGAUCGGGAAGAACAUCAGUGGCGAAGGCGGCUUUCUGGUCUGUUCUUGACGCUGAGGCGCGAAAGCUAGGGUAGCAAACGGG